RNAcentral lists this ribosomal RNA (398 nucleotides) under uncultured bacterium. RNAcentral describes it as "partial 16S ribosomal RNA". It matches the Rfam family "Bacterial small subunit ribosomal RNA", at positions 523 to 918 of the family's 1533-position model. The record is from RNAcentral.
AUACGUAGGGUGCGAGCGUUUUCCGGAAUUACUGGGCGUAAAGAGCUCGUAGGUGGUUUGUCGCGUCGUCUGUGAAAUUCCGGGGCUUAACUCCGGGCGUGCAGGCGAUACGGGCAUAACUUGAGUACUGUAGGGGAGACUGGAAUUCCUGGCGUAGCGGUGAAAUGCGCAGAUAUCAGGAGGAACACCGGUGGCGAAGGCGGGUCUCUGGGCAGUAACUGACGCUGAGGAGCGAAAGCAUGGGUAGCGAACAGGAUUAGAUACCCUGGUAGUCCAUGCCGUAAACGGUGGGCGCUAGGUGUAGGGGUCUUCCACGACUUCUGUGCCGUAGCUAACGCAUUAAGCGCCCCGCCUGGGGAGUACGGCCGCAAGGCUAAAACUCAAAUGAAUUGACGGGG